RNAcentral lists this long non-coding RNA (2279 nucleotides) under Paramuricea clavata. Lineage: Eukaryota; Metazoa; Cnidaria; Anthozoa; Malacalcyonacea; Plexauridae. The record is from RNAcentral.
GUUUCGGCUAGGUGCGCGCAUGGUUUGAAUUCGCCUCAACGUCUUGUUGAAUUAGUUCGACAAAGGAUCAGAUUGGUGAGAGGGUUGGCCGCGCGCGUUGCAUGUUUCAGUUGUAAAUGGUUGAAAUUUUAAUACAGUAUAGCAUGCACGAUAGUUUCGGCUAGGUACGCGCGUGGUUUGAAUUCGCCUCAACGUCUUGUUGAAUUAGUUCGACAAAGGAUCAGAUUGGUGAGAGGGUUGGCCGCGCGCGUUGCAUGUUUCAGUUGUAAAUGGUUGAAAUUUUAAUACAGUAUAGCAUGCACGAUAGUUUCGGCUAGGUGCGCACAUGGUUUGAAUUCGCCUCAACGUCUUGUUGAAUUAGUUCGACAAAGGAGCAGAUUGGUGAGAGGAUUGGCCGUGCGCGUUGCAUGUUUUUAAUACAGUAGCAUGCAUGAGAGUUUCUGCUGCGGACGCAAUUUCAGCUUACCUUAUGAGCUUUAUAAUGGUUGAAAUUUUAAUACAGUUGCAUGAGAGGUUUCGAUUUCAUGCUUUUUUCCUGACUAUGUUUUUAUUUUUGUUUUUUUUUAUACUGAUGUGUGGCCGAAAUUAACAUGCUGAAAUAUCUGAGGGUAAGUGUUAAUCUUUAUUUCUCACAUUAUUGCCAGUUUGCAAUUACAGAGAUAGGUCGACUUUCAAAUGGUUCUAAUUUUAGCACAGUUGCAUGUAUGAGAGUUUUGGCUGAGGACGUAAUUUCAUUUUGCCUUAUGAACUUUAUAAUGGUUGAAAUUUUAAUACAGUUGCAUGAGAGAGGUUUCGGUUUCAUGUUUUUUUCGUGACUCUGUUUUUAUUUUUGUUUUUUUUAUACUGAUGUAUUGGAACCCCAUUAUUGCAGAGCUGAUCUUGGUGAUGUCAGCUAUGUAAAUUAUUGUGUAUAAGGCGGGUGCCUGAGUCACGGAGCAACUUUUAAGGUAGGUCGGUGUUGAAACAAUGUAAUUUUUAGGAAAAAUGUAUAGAGAUUAGAUAAGAAUUUUCUUUAAUCCGUAUUCAGUGACUUGCAAAUAAAUGGCAAUCCCACCGCUGUUUGUGAUUCCUUUCAAACUGCUGGUCUGACCAUUGAAAAUAAGAUCUGAAGUGGGUCCAACAGAUUGAAGUGAUUUGCAAAAAGGUGUCAAGCUUCUUUACUUUCUGUCACAGUUGAAACGAGCAAUCGUUCAAACGAUGGAUUUAGUGAAUUCUAUGCGUCUAGUAUUCGUUCUCUUCUGAGAUAUGCUUGUGAAUUCUUUAAUUUUAGUUUCGAGAGAAAUUAAACUUAUCCUUGGAACGCAUUCAUAAAAGAAGAAUGAGGAUUAUCGAUGGAUUUUUGACAAUACGUGCGAUGUUGCCCUGAAUCUGUCGUGCCUGGAGAGAUUGUUUGUUUAUGGGGAGAAACUUGAUGAUUUUCUGCAGAAGAUUUUCGUCAAUACAGAAGAUAAACUUUAUACACCGCAUAAUAUGAAUGGAGACUUCCCCUUAAAGAAAGAUUAGAAAAUGUACUGUCCGUAAAUGUAAUACUUACCGUUUUAAAAACUACGACCGUUUUAAAAACUGCGAUCGAUGGUACAACUAGUCGCUAUAAUGAAUGAACGAACGAAGUCUUUAUUUUUAUCAGGGUUGUUUCAGUGCUACAGUGAAUACUGUUAUAAACAUGAGCAAUGAAAGAACAAUGAUGGGGACUAUAUAGUUUAAAGGGGCAAUAUCAGCCAUUUUUGGGCAAUUGUAACCCUCGCAAGUUUUGCCCAAAACUGAAAAAGAAUGAAUGUAGGCACAAAAUUAAAGCAAUAAGAUUCAAAAAACAUGUAGAUGUGCAUGUUGAUUAAUUGUUGGCAGACACUUUUUCAUGUUUUAGUCAAUUUUAUGAAAAUGUUGUGCGUGGAAGUUCAAAGUUUUGUUUAAUAUGACUCAUUACUUAAUCAUUUACAAUGUUUAUUUUUAACUUUGUAGUUUAGUUUUUGAACAAAAGGCAUUUUAGGUAAAAAAAAUCGGUGACAAAAAUGGCAAAUAAUUUUUGUAAAUAUUUUAAAAAAUCUUGUUAACUGUAUAAAUCUUGUCAAUUCAGUAUAUUGUAUUCAUAUAAAACCACAUAUGCCAACAAAAUAGAAUUACAAGUCUGAUGUUAUACAUUUAAUAUGUAUUCUCGUUUCUAAUUGGUUAGAAAGCACCGGCUAAUUUUCAGUAUUCGGCAUUUAUUACGUAUUUUCCGCCGAUGACGUCAUCAGCGUAUCCAAAAAAAAAAAUAUUGGACUCUCGUGCCCAAGCCCUUG